CGGGGUGUGGCGCAGUUUGGUAGCGCGCACGGUUCGGGUCCGUGAGGUCGGCGGUUCAAGUCCGCCCACCCCGACCA
RNAcentral lists this transfer RNA (77 nucleotides) under Thermoanaerobaculum aquaticum. RNAcentral describes it as "tRNA-Pro". It matches the Rfam family "tRNA". Rfam says of the family: Transfer RNA (tRNA) molecules are approximately 80 nucleotides in length. Their secondary structure includes four short double-helical elements and three loops (D, anti-codon, and T loops). Further hydrogen bonds mediate the characteristic L-shaped molecular structure. tRNAs have two regions of fundamental functional importance: the anti-codon, which is responsible for specific mRNA codon recognition, and the 3' end, to which the tRNAs corresponding amino acid is attached (by aminoacyl-tRNA synthetases). tRNAs cope with the degeneracy of the genetic code in two manners: having more than one tRNA (with a specific anti-codon) for a particular amino acid; and 'wobble' base-pairing, i.e. permitting non-standard base-pairing at the 3rd anti-codon position. Lineage: Bacteria; Pseudomonadati; Acidobacteriota; Thermoanaerobaculia; Thermoanaerobaculales; Thermoanaerobaculaceae. The record is from RNAcentral. RNAcentral also lists the same sequence under 6 other names.